UUAAGCGACUAAGCGUACACGGUGGAUGCCUAGGCAGUCAGAGGCGAUGAAGGGCGUGCUAAUCUGCGAAAAGCGUCGGUAAGGUGAUAUGAACCGUUACAACCGACGAUACCCGAAUGGGGAAACCCAGUGCAAUUCGUUGCACUAUUGCAUGGUGAAUACAUAGCCAUGCAAGGCGAACCGGGGGAACUGAAACAUCUAAGUACCCCGAGGAAAAGAAAUCAACCGAGAUUCCCCCAGUAGCGGCGAGCGAACGGGGAGGAGCCCAGAACCUGAAUCAGCGUAUGUGUUAGUGGAAGCGUCUGGAAAGUCGCACGGUACAGGGUGAUAGUCCCGUACACAAAAAUGCAUAUGUUGUGAGUUCGAUGAGUAGGGCGGGACACGUGACAUCCUGUCUGAAUAUGGGGGGACCAUCCUCCAAGGCUAAAUACUCCUGACUGACCGAUAGUGAACCAGUACCGUGAGGGAAAGGCGAAAAGAACCCCGGCGAGGGGAGUGAAAUAGAACCUGAAACCGUGUACGUACAAGCAGUGGGAGCACCUUCGUGGUGUGACUGCGUACCUUUUGUAUAAUGGGUCAGCGACUUAUAUUUUGUAGCAAGGUUAACCGAAUAGGGGAGCCGUAGGGAAACCGAGUCUUAACUGGGCGAAUAGUUGCAAGGUAUAGACCCGAAACCCGGUGAUCUAGCCAUGGGCAGGUUGAAGGUUGGGUAACACUAACUGGAGGACCGAACCGACUAAUGUUGAAAAAUUAGCGGAUGACUUGUGGCUGGGGGUGAAAGGCCAAUCAAACCGGGAGAUAGCUGGUUCUCCCCGAAAGCUAUUUAGGUAGCGCCUCGUGAACUCAUCUUCGGGGGUAGAGCACUGUUUCGGCUAGGGGGUCAUCCCGACUUACCAAACCGAUGCAAACUCCGAAUACCGAAGAAUGUUAUCACGGGAGACACACGGCGGGUGCUAACGUCCGUCGUGAAGAGGGAAACAACCCAGACCGCCAGCUAAGGUCCCAAAGUCAUGGUUAAGUGGGAAACGAUGUGGGAAGGCAUAGACAGCCAGGAUGUUGGCUUAGAAGCAGCCAUCAUUUAAAGAAAGCGUAAUAGCUCACUGGUCGAGUCGGCCUGCGCGGAAGAUGUAACGGGGCUAAACCAUGCACCGAAGCUGCGGCAGCGACACUUAGGUGUUGUUGGGUAGGGGAGCGUUCUGUAAGCCGUUGAAGGUGACCUGUGAGGGUUGCUGGAGGUAUCAGAAGUGCGAAUGCUGACAUAAGUAACGAUAAUGCGGGUGAAAAACCCGCACGCCGGAAGACCAAGGGUUCCUGUCCAACGUUAAUCGGGGCAGGGUGAGUCGACCCCUAAGGCGAGGCUGAAAAGCGUAGUCGAUGGGAAACAGGUUAAUAUUCCUGUACUUGGUGUUACUGCGAAGGGGGGACGGAGAAGGCUAGGCUAGCCGGGCGACGGUUGUCCCGGUUUAAGCAUGUAGGCGGAGCGACUUGGUAAAUCCGGUUGCUUAUCAACGCUGAGGUGUGAUGACGAGCCACUACGGUGGUGAAGUAGUUGAUGCCAAGCUUCCAGGAAAAGCCUCUAAGCAUCAGGUAACAUUAAAUCGUACCCCAAACCGACACAGGUGGUCAGGUAGAGAAUACUCAGGCGCUUGAGAGAACUCGGGUGAAGGAACUAGGCAAAAUGGUGCCGUAACUUCGGGAGAAGGCACGCUGGCAUUAGGUAAAGAGACUUGCUCUCGGCGCCGAAGCCAGUCGCAGAUACCAGCUGGCUGCAACUGUUUAAUAAAAACACAGCACUGUGCAAACACGAAAGUGGACGUAUACGGUGUGACGCCUGCCCGGUGCUGGAAGGUUAAUUGAUGGGGUCAGCCGCAAGGCGAAGCUCUUGAUCGAAGCCCCAGUAAACGGCGGCCGUAACUAUAACGGUCCUAAGGUAGCGAAAUUCCUUGUCGGGUAAGUUCCGACCUGCACGAAUGGCGUAAUGAUGGCCAGGCUGUCUCCACCCGAGACUCAGUGAAAUUGAACUCGCUGUGAAGAUGCAGUGUACCCGCGGCAAGACGGAAAGACCCCGUGAACCUUUACUAUAGCUUGACACUGAACAUUGAGCCUUGAUGUGUAGGAUAGGUGGGAGGCAUUGAAGUGUGGACGCCAGUCUGCAUGGAGCCAACCUUGAAAUACCACCCUUUAAUGUUUGAUGUUCUAACUCGGCCCCAUAAUCUGGGGUGAGGACAGUGUCUGGUGGGUAGUUUGACUGGGGCGGUCUCCUCCCAAAGAGUAACGGAGGAGCACGAAGGUUAGCUAAUCACGGUCGGACAUCGUGAGGUUAGUGCAAAGGCAUAAGCUAGCUUGACUGCGAGAGUGACGGCUCGAGCAGGUACGAAAGUAGGUCUUAGUGAUCCGGUGGUUCUGAAUGGAAGGGCCAUCGCUCAACGGAUAAAAGGUACUCCGGGGAUAACAGGCUGAUACCGCCCAAGAGUUCAUAUCGACGGCGGUGUUUGGCACCUCGAUGUCGGCUCAUCACAUCCUGGGGCUGAAGUAGGUCCCAAGGGUAUGGCUGUUCGCCAUUUAAAGUGGUACGCGAGCUGGGUUUAGAACGUCGUGAGACAGUUCGGUCCCUAUCUGCCGUGGGCGUUGGAAGAUUGAGAGGGGCUGCUCCUAGUACGAGAGGACCGGAGUGGACGAAUCACUGGUGUUCGGGUUGUCAUGCCAAUGGCAUUGCCCGGUAGCUAAAUUCGGAAGAGAUAACCGCUGAAAGCAUCUAAGCGGGAAACUUGCCUCGAGAUGAGUCUUCCCUGGGGCUUUAAGCCCCCUGAAGGAACGUUAAAGACUAUGACGUUGAUAGGCUGGGUGUGUAAGUGCAGCGAUGCAUUGAGCUAACCAGUACUAAUGAUCCGUGAGGCUUAACCUU
This 2905-nucleotide ribosomal RNA is filed under the name Yersinia enterocolitica. Its description in RNAcentral is "bacterial LSU rRNA". It matches the Rfam family "Bacterial large subunit ribosomal RNA". The record is from RNAcentral. Lineage: Bacteria; Pseudomonadati; Pseudomonadota; Gammaproteobacteria; Enterobacterales; Yersiniaceae.